RNAcentral lists this ribosomal RNA (467 nucleotides) under uncultured bacterium. RNAcentral's name for it is "partial 16S ribosomal RNA". It matches the Rfam family "Bacterial small subunit ribosomal RNA", at positions 28 to 507 of the family's 1533-position model. The record is from RNAcentral.
GAUGAACGCUGGCGGCGCGCCUAACACAUGCAAGUCGAACGAUUAAAGCACCUUCGGGUGUGUAUAAAGUGGCGAACGGCUGAGUAACACGUGGGCAACCUGCCCCUUUCAUUGGGAUAGCCACGGGAAACCGUGGAUAAUACCGAAUACUUCGAGACUUCCGCAUGGAAGACUCGAGAAAGCUCCGGCGGAGAGGGAUGGGCCCGCGGCCUGUUAGCUUGUUGGUGGGGUAACGGCCUACCAAGGCAAUGAUGGGUAGCUGGGUUGAGAGACCGACCAGCCAGAUUGGGACUGGGACACGGCCCAGACUCCUACGGGAGGCAGCAGCGGGGAAUCUUGCACAAUGGGCGAAAGCCUGAUGCAGCGACGCCGCGUGCGGGAUGAAGGCCUUCGGGUUGUAAACCGCUUUCAGCAGGGACGAGGCGAAAGUGACGGUACCUGCAGAAGAAGCCCCGGCUAACUACGUG